ACGCAUUAGCACUCCGCUGGGGGGUACGACCGCAAGGUUGAAACUCAAAGGAAUGACGGGGGCCCGCACAGCGGUGGAGCAUGUGGUUUAAUUCGAAGCAACGCGAAGAACCUUACCAGGUCUUGACAUCCUUUGACCACUCUAGAGAUAGAGCUUUCCCUUUGGGGACAAAGUGACAGGUGGUGCAUGGUGUCGUCAGCUCGUGUCGUGAGAUGUUGGGUUAAGUCCCGCAACGAGCGCAACCCUUAUUGUUAGUUGCCAUCAUUAAGUUGGGCACUCUAGCGAGACUGCCGGUGACAAACCGGAGGAAGGUGGGGAUGACGUCAAAUCAUCAUGCCCCUUAUGACCUGGGCUACACACGUGCUACAAUGGACAGUACAAUGAGCAGCGACACGGCGACGUGAAGCGAAUCUCAUAAAGCUGUUCUCAGUUCGGAUUGUAGGCUGCAACUCGCCUACAUGAAGCCGGAAUCGCUAGUAAUCGCGGAUCAGCACGCCGCGGUGAAUACGUUCCCGGGCCUUGUACACACCGCCCGUCACACCACGAAAGUUUGUAACACCCGAAGUCGGUGAGGUAACCGCAAGGAGCCAACCGCCUAAGGUGGGAUAGAUGAUUGGGGUGAAGUCGUAACAAGGUAACCAAGGGCGAAUUCCAG
This 655-nucleotide ribosomal RNA is filed under the name uncultured Vagococcus sp. RNAcentral describes it as "bacterial SSU rRNA". It matches the Rfam family "Bacterial small subunit ribosomal RNA", at positions 855 to 1516 of the family's 1533-position model. The record is from RNAcentral. Lineage: Bacteria; Bacillati; Bacillota; Bacilli; Lactobacillales; Enterococcaceae.